AACGAACGCUGGCGGCGCGCCUAACACAUGCAAGUCGAACGAGAAGGCGUAGCAAUACGCUUGUAGAGUGGCGAACGGGUGAGUAAUACGUGGGUGACCUACCCUCGAGUGGGGAAUAACCCGCCGAAAGGCGGGCUAAUGCCGCGUACGCUUCCGUCCUCACGGGGACGGAAGGAAAGCUGUACCGUGGGUACGGCGCUCAAGGAUGGGCUCACGUCCUAUCAGCUUGUUGGUAGGGUAACGGCCACCAAGGCUACGACGGGUAGCUGGUCUGAGAGGACGAUCAGCCACACUGGCACUGCGACACGGGCCAGACUCCUACGGGAGGCAGCAGUGAGGAAUAUUGCGCAAUGGGCGAAAGCCUGACGCAGCGACGCCGCCGUGGGGGAUGAAGGUCUUCGGAUUGU
This 407-nucleotide ribosomal RNA is filed under the name uncultured bacterium. RNAcentral's name for it is "bacterial SSU rRNA". It matches the Rfam family "Bacterial small subunit ribosomal RNA", at positions 29 to 426 of the family's 1533-position model. The record is from RNAcentral.